UCAUCUACGUCAUCUGUCAACUGUCAGUUUAGAUUGACAGAUUGACAGAUUGACAGCCUAGAUAAAAUAAAUUUUCGCGACGACGAAAUUGCUCGACUUUUAAAUUCAAUUCCUGUAAGACAUGCUACUUCAGACGACAACUGGAUCGACCUUAUUACGGACUAUGCCACCGAUACCGGCCGGCUUUGAUCGUGAUGGUGAAGAAAGUGAGUGUGACGGAGGCGAGGAGGAAGAUAUUCCACUCAUGGCUGACCCGAUGGUAGCGUACAAUGUCUCUGAUUAUAAUGAUUCAAUUCAAUUCAAUUCAAUUUUAUUUGUAUAGCGCCAAUUCAUAACAGAAGUUAUCUCAGGACACUUUUCAAAUAGAGCAGGUCUAGACCGAACUCUUUAAAACAUUAAUUACAGAGACCCAACAGUACCACCAUGAGCAAGACCUUGGUGACAAGGGCAAGGAAAAACUGCCUGUUAAAAGGCAGAAACCUAGGACAGAUCCUCCGGCUCUAGGUGGGUGGUCGUCUGUCUCGACCAGUUGGGGUGAGAGAGAGAGAGAGAGAGAGAGAGAGAGAGAGAGAGAGAGAGAGAGAGACAGACAGACAGAGAGAGAGA
Long non-coding RNA from Dicentrarchus labrax (European seabass), 606 nucleotides. RefSeq lists it as uncharacterized. The transcript is spliced from 2 exons. NCBI's taxonomy places the organism in Eukaryota, Metazoa, Chordata, Actinopteri, Moronidae. The record is from RefSeq and is a predicted model, not a curated record.